UCAAGUAUUAAAAACAAUAUAGCAUUAAAUGUUAAAAGCUUCCCUGAACAGGGCUGCCUUCAGAUGUCUUUUAAAGAUAGGAUAGCUACUUAUUUCCUUCACAUCUGAAGGGAGGGUGUUCCACAGGGUGGGCACCACUACCGAGAAAGCCCUCUGUCUGGUUCCCUGUAACCUUACUUCUCGCAAUGAGGGAACCGCCAGAAGGCCCUUGGCGCUGGAUCUCAGUGUCCGGGCUGAACGAUGGGGGUGGAGAUGCUCCUUCAGGUAUACAGGACCGAGGCCAUUUAGGGCUUUAAAGGUCAGCACCAACACUUUGAAUUGUGCUCGGAAACGUACUGGGAGCCAAUGCAGAUCUCUCAGAACCGGUGUUAUGUGGUCCCGGCGGCCACUCCCAGUCACCAGUCUAGCUGCCGCAUUCUGGAUUAAUUUCCAGAUUUCCAUGAUUUCUUGUUGAUGCGAGUUGUGCUUUUGGUCCAUGGAGGACCACAAAUAGUGCUCUCCCCCAAAGAUGAACUCAGUGAUUGACUUGUAUAGGGCAAGAAGGUCCUUAAAGUACCCUGGGCCUAAGUAAUUUGGGGACUUUAUACAAUAGGAAGCCAGUGCAGACUUUAAGGGAGAGCUGGGCACAUUAAUGGAAGAGCAGAGGUGCAUCAAUGACUGCCAGCCAUGACAGCCUGAGUUGGCCAUACUGCACUAUAUGGCCCAAGCAACAUUCUUAUGCAGGUGACAUAUCAGCAGAUGAGGAAAUUCAGUCCCUCAAGACAACAGCAGAAGCAUAGAGCAAGGGUGAUCCUUCAGAUGUUGCCAGACUACAAUUUCAUGGUUGCCAUGGACAGUAUCUUUCAGCUAUCAGAGCCUCCAUCUGUAGAGAUUGCAGAGUUUCGCAGAGGGAUCCCUCCCUGCUUAAAAAGCAGACAACCUUCUGCUGAAUUUGUUUCAUUUGGGGCCGUUUUGUGUGUGAUGGUUUUGUUUUUGUAACUGUGGAUUUUUAUUGCUGAAAGCUUAUAAUAUAAAUAAAUAUAAGUGAACAUCUUGACAAAAUA
Molecule: long non-coding RNA, 1043 nt
Organism: Podarcis raffonei (Aeolian wall lizard)
Lineage: Eukaryota; Metazoa; Chordata; Lepidosauria; Squamata; Lacertidae
Exons: 2
Source: RefSeq, a predicted model, not a curated record